CACCAUGCCCGGCAAAUAUUUUUGGAUUUUUAGUAGAGCUAGGGUUUCACCAUGUUAGCCAGGCUGGUCUCAAACUCCUGGCCUCAGGUGAUCCACCUGCCUCGACUUCCCAAAGUGCUGGGAUUACAGGCGUGAGCCACCAUGCCCAGCCAAUUUGUUUGUUUUUGAGACAAGUUCUUGCCCUGUCGCCCAGGCUGGAGUGCAGUGGUGCAAUCAUGGCUCACUGCAGCCUCCAACUCCCAGGCUCAAGGGAUCCUCCUACUUCAGCCUCCCGAGUAACUGGGGUUACAGGUGCAUGUCACCAUGCCCAGCCAGCUAUUCACCCUCCUGGGUGGGGCUGGUGGGGUGGUGAUGCCUGCCUUGCUUUCAGGCCCCCAGCAGCAGCCGGUCUGUGCCCUGGCUGCCUGCCACCAACCUGCAUCCCUGCCCCAUAGGCUGCAGCCCCGUACGGAGAGCCUUCUGCGAGCCCUGGUUGCAGAGAAGGCUGACUGCCAUGAAGCCUUGCUGGCUGCUUGGAAGAAAAACCCCAAAUACCUGCUGGCUGAGUACUGUGAGUGGCUGCCACAGGCCGUGCACCCCGAUAUCGAGAAAGCCUGGCCCCCCACCACUGUCCACUGACCAGAGCCGAGGACUGGUUUGGGGACUGGAGGGAUGGCAGCAGCCUGUCACCCUGCGACCGUGACCACCUGGCAUGGGCUUCAUGGCCUGCUCUCAGGAAGCAGGUCAAGCCCUGGGAACCCUCGUCCAUGAGAGCUUGAUUCCGUAUGAAGCGUGCUGCCGCCCGUGCCAUCUGGCCCGGGGGUGA
This 805-nucleotide small RNA is filed under the name Pongo abelii (Sumatran orangutan). Its description in RNAcentral is "retained intron". The record is from RNAcentral. Lineage: Eukaryota; Metazoa; Chordata; Mammalia; Primates; Hominidae.